Molecule: ribosomal RNA, 433 nt
Filed under: uncultured bacterium
Lineage: Bacteria
Description: partial 16S ribosomal RNA
Rfam family: Bacterial small subunit ribosomal RNA
Source: RNAcentral
AACGAACGCUGGCGGCAUGCCUAACACAUGCAAGUCGAACGAGACCUUCGGGUCUAGUGGCGCACGGGUGCGUAACGCGUGGGAACCUGCCCUUAGGUUCGGAAUAACUCCCCGAAAGGGGUGCUAAUACCGGAUAAUGUCUUCGGACCAAAGAUUUAUCGCCUUUGGAUGGGCCCGCGUUGGAUUAGCUAGUUGGUAGGGCAAAAGCCUACCAAGGCGACGAUCCAUAGCUGGUCUGAGAGGAUGAUCAGCCACACUGGGACUGAGACACGGCCCAGACUCCUACGGGAGGCAGCAGUAGGGAAUAUUGGACAAUGGGCGAAAGCCUGAUCCAGCAAUGCCGCGUGAGUGAUGAAGGCCUUAGGGUUGUAAAGCUCUUUUACCCGGGAUGAUAAUGACAGUACCGGGAGAAUAAGCUCCGGCUAACUCCGUG